RNAcentral lists this ribosomal RNA (450 nucleotides) under Triticum aestivum (bread wheat). Its description in RNAcentral is "partial small subunit ribosomal RNA". Lineage: Eukaryota; Viridiplantae; Streptophyta; Magnoliopsida; Poales; Poaceae. The record is from RNAcentral.
AUGAAUUGUGAUGGUGGGCUAUCUACUUUGGGAGACAAAGGGGCUGCCGCGGUUGUUUGCAGAGACAAGUCAGGCACAUACUUGGGAGCCUCGGCUGUUGUUUUCGAAGGCUUGGUUGAUCCGGCAAGUCUGGAAGCGAAAGCGUGUAGCGAGGCUCUAGCCCUCGCGCGAGACCUAAAUCUGAACGACUUGGAGAUUGCUUCAGAUUGUCAGGAAGUAAUCUCAAACAUCACCAAUGGAGGGUCACCUACUUAUGCACCGAUCAUCAGGGAGACAGAGCUCAGUAGGAACCUUUUUUCUUCUGUUAUUUUCCGUUUUGAGCAUAGAGAAACUAAUUUUGAGGCUCACUCGCUAGCUAAAGGAGCUGCGUCUCUGGCGGUGGGUCGCCACGUGUGGCUGGGGGUUUUGCCUGACAUUGCUUGUAUUCCUCGACUUUUAAGUUCUGAAUAA